CAUAAGGCAUCAGUGGCUAUGAAGUGCCAAAGGAUCCUGCAGAAGCCUCAUGGAAAGGGGAAACAGCUCACACAAAUGGAAUCAGAUUUUGUUUCCAAGAACUGAAUCAUCUGCUUCUCAAGCGCAAUCAAUCCGCUACAGGAAAACCAGGUAAUACUGAACAAUACUGAGCAAUUUUGUUGGAGUAUUACAUGCAACUCAAUUUCCUCUGAUGUGAAUGC
Molecule: long non-coding RNA, 221 nt
Organism: Ficedula albicollis (Collared flycatcher)
Lineage: Eukaryota; Metazoa; Chordata; Aves; Passeriformes; Muscicapidae
Exons: 4
Source: RefSeq, a predicted model, not a curated record